GGUAGUGUGGCCGAGCCUUUUAAGGCGCUGGAUUUAGGCUCCAGUCUCCUCGGAGGCGUUGGUUCAAAUCCCACCACUGCCA
RNAcentral lists this transfer RNA (82 nucleotides) under Petromyzon marinus (sea lamprey). RNAcentral's name for it is "tRNA-Leu (TAG) (tRNA-Leu-TAG-14-1)". It matches the Rfam family "tRNA". From Rfam's summary of the family: Transfer RNA (tRNA) molecules are approximately 80 nucleotides in length. Their secondary structure includes four short double-helical elements and three loops (D, anti-codon, and T loops). The record is from RNAcentral. Lineage: Eukaryota; Metazoa; Chordata; Hyperoartia; Petromyzontiformes; Petromyzontidae.